Molecule: ribosomal RNA, 253 nt
Filed under: uncultured bacterium
Lineage: Bacteria
Description: partial 16S ribosomal RNA
Rfam family: Bacterial small subunit ribosomal RNA
Source: RNAcentral
UACAGAGGUGGCAAGCGUUGUUCGGAAUCACUGGGCAUAAAGGGCGCGUAGGCGGCGAGGCAAGUCGGGUGUGAAAUCCCUCAGCUCAACUGAGGAACUGCGCCCGAAACUACCUUGCUAGAGUGCAGGAGAGGAGAGUGGAACUCCUAGUGGAGCGGUGAAAUGCGUAGAGAUUAGGAGGAACGCCGGUGGCGAAAGCGACUCUCUGGCCUGUAACUGACGCUGAGGCGCGAAAGCGUGGGGAGCGAUCCGG